CACUUGGCGGGAGGCUCUGACACGCGGCCCGAACACCGGCCGCCGGGACCGCGCCGAGCCACUGGCGAGACCGACCCGCGAUACC
RNAcentral lists this non-coding RNA (85 nucleotides) under unclassified sequences. Its description in RNAcentral is "c-di-GMP sequence". It matches the Rfam family "c-di-GMP-II-GAG riboswitch aptamer". The record is from Rfam by way of RNAcentral.